GUAUAUGUAGAUUCAUCUCAUCAUAUAAUUUUUCUAAUCAUUUACAUGUGCAAAUUAAAACAUAGCAUAUAUAAUAAUAAUGUGUAAUAAUAUUCUAAACAAAUCACACGAGAAAUAUUUGAUCAUCUGAUCAAUGACCACCAAAAACUUUCUUUUUUUUUUCUUUAAAAAAAUAAAAAGAUAUUAUACAUAGACUUUGAUGAUUUGCAAAUGAAAACACACUCUAUUAAGCUACACAUUUAUUUGAUUGAAGUAGUUAGUUAAAAGCAGAACAAAUCUUGCGAAUUUCACCAUCAGCACCAGUCUUGACUCCAAUGUUGCCCAUCUUAACCAUAGACUUUCCAAACUCAACGCUGAAAGACAAGUCAAGCACCCCUCUUAGGCCUAAGUAUCUCUGCACAAACAUUUUUGUGGAAGCAUCAUUCCAUAGUUCCUCAUCUGACUCAAGAAUUCCACGUCCAUUCUUCAAAUUAGCAUAGUAAGAAGUAUCAAAUUUCAGUUGGCUUCCGGUAUCUAAGGGAACACGGUUGCUACCGCCACUGUUUUGAGGGCAGAGUGCUUGUAGUUGCGGAACAAAUGAAGGGUCAAUGGAAGGAUCAGGGCCAUUUCCGGUGAAGUUGUACAAUCUGUUGCUGAAGAAUUGGCAUGCUGCGGUACCUAUCGUAUGUCCUCCUGUCCACAUACUCAUCAAACUUUUUCAUUGUACAAACGUGUUUUUUAAAUUUCUGUUAAAUUUGCAUCGAAAUUUUUUAUUUGUUUUAAAUCAAUAAAAAUUAUUCUGUAACAAAUACUAUAUAUCUCACAAAAUGAUUUCUUUCAAAAGUUAAAAAAUUUAAACUAAUAAAGGAAGUUAUAUCUCUGACAAAUAUAAUAUAAUCUUAGUAUGAUUACCAACAAGGGUAACGAGGUCUUGUGUGUUGAGGCCCUUUGCUGCAAACUUCUGUUUUUGAACAUCAACAGAGUCCGUAGGUGCAGGCAAGUUGUUAACAUCCGAAGCUUGUGACACAUGACCAUCUUUACGUCCUGUAGGCACUUGCCAACUCAAUCCACCGCUCUGCAAACAAAAAUACUCUCAAUAUUAUUACUUGUUCGUUUUAAAACAUGUAAAAACUCACGGUAUAGUUAUUUUUAUUGUGAAGUUGAUAGCUAAAAAUUAUUAAAUAAUUUAACAUGUUUGAUUAAAUUAUCAUCUAAUAACUUUCAACUAUCAACUUCAUAUAAAGAUAACUGUACGUAAGCUUUUAUCUUUACUUUAAAAUUUUAUUAUUGUUGUGUAUAUAUACCAGGACGACAGAGUCGCGAGCAGCAAGGGCAAGAAUAUCGGCGCAAGAC
Molecule: long non-coding RNA, 1332 nt
Filed under: Arachis ipaensis
Lineage: Eukaryota; Viridiplantae; Streptophyta; Magnoliopsida; Fabales; Fabaceae
Description: long non-coding RNA (AIPA_LNC002397)
Source: RNAcentral